RNAcentral lists this non-coding RNA (87 nucleotides) under Azotobacter beijerinckii. The record is from RNAcentral. Lineage: Bacteria; Pseudomonadati; Pseudomonadota; Gammaproteobacteria; Pseudomonadales; Pseudomonadaceae.
AGUUAUGGCGGCCGUGCGUGGGAGACCUUCGGGUCUGCCGGGUUCCUUUGUCCCCGGUUCGCCAACCUGCGCACGGCUGCCACCUAU